AUUGGCAACCCUUAGGAGGAAAGAGAUGAAUCAUAAGGGAUUGUGGAAUCAUUAGAAAUUGAGGAUUAGAACAUCCGAGAUUAAAAUGUCUCACACGUCAGUGCAGCAGAAUUUCCCAGCGACUUCGGUGGCGGGAGAGCAGCACCUCUCAGGGACAGCUGUGCGCAUCCCUCGGGCCCCACCGACCGCACCAUCUGACCUGCGGGAAACGAAAUCUGAGCUCAGGAAUUUGAACGGCCCCACGCACGUUCAUUCCCGGAUACAUCUUCUAGAGGACCGUGAUUUUUCCACUUAGAGAUUAUUUAGGGAGAUGUCCUGGAUGGGACAGGUAGACAAAUGGCGGCCCGAGGAAAAUGCAGGAUCUACAUUGUAGACGCUUAAGCACCAACUGUCUGGGCCCCGGGGCAGAGGGGACGGGGGACAUUACCCACCGGAAACAUCACACCCCCGGGGCUCCUGGCAUUUUCUACAUCAGUGAAUGUGCCAGCGAAGAGUGUGGGGAAAUUUUCUGAACAUAGAAUUCAUAUUCCUGAAACUUUAAGUCGUGAAGUGGGUGCUUCAGCUGUCCCCCAGCUUUAGGAUUUUAACCCAGCUUUGGUUUUAAUCACCAAGAGUUAUUCCUUAUAAUCAGAUCAGCAAAAGCGUUCCAUUACCUAUUACUGGUUGAGAAAGAUUCCGUUCCCCCAGCUCAUUGUAUCGGUUCUCGGAUCCAAGAUGUUAAUAUUGGCCAGGCAUUCACAGGGGGUUAAUAUGGCCCCCCCUCGACACCUUGCCUCGUACCAGAGACACCAAAAGCUGCUGCUGAGGGAUAAUGGAGAAUGGGAAAAGUUGGUCAUGAAAAACCUCUUUUAUUCUUACUUGCAAGCUACGCUUUUGACAUUCUUUUUUUGACACUAAAUGGAGAUUACUGAAUUGAUAACUUUUGGGUUUUCUCUGUCACACUGGGUUUUUUUUCCCCCGUUUGUUUGUAAGGUUUUUUUGGUUUU
RNAcentral lists this long non-coding RNA (986 nucleotides) under Pongo abelii (Sumatran orangutan). RNAcentral's name for it is "lincRNA". Lineage: Eukaryota; Metazoa; Chordata; Mammalia; Primates; Hominidae. The record is from RNAcentral.